This 437-nucleotide long non-coding RNA is filed under the name Lathyrus oleraceus (garden pea). RNAcentral describes it as "Pisum sativum (pea) long non-coding RNA (PSAT_LNC041097)". Lineage: Eukaryota; Viridiplantae; Streptophyta; Magnoliopsida; Fabales; Fabaceae. The record is from RNAcentral.
UUAAGAUAAACCAUUCACAAAAAGCAGCUAAAUAACUAACUGCAGAGGCAUCGAAAAUUUCAAGAAACUAAUUAUCAUUUUGAAACAUUAUGCAACACAUGUUUGAUUCGAUAAAUUAACAUGUUGAUUUUCAAUAUCACAUAGAUUUUUUUAUUUAUAUAAAUAAAUCUUUAAUUUUUUUUAAAGAGAUAGAAAAUUAAAUUCAAGAUAAAGAAAGUUCUAAUCAAUUCAAAUUAAACAAAACUAUAAAUUACAAUGGAUAGAAAUUAAACUAAAUUCAAAACACAUAAUUAUCCAUAAAGAAGUCUUUUACAAUUAAUUUAUUAAAAAUUAUUAUCAGAACCAUGAACACAAUACAAAUGACACACUCGAAGUAUUUUCCAACAAUGAGAAGACGAUUAAUACCGGACGCAGAAGUACUGGAUCCUCGGAUUUUG